This is a long non-coding RNA of Macaca fascicularis (crab-eating macaque), 2487 nucleotides long. Lineage: Eukaryota; Metazoa; Chordata; Mammalia; Primates; Cercopithecidae. The record is from Ensembl.
AUUUAAAAAUGCUUUAUUGCUAAAAAUGCUAAUGAUCAAUCUGAGCCUUCAGUGAGUCGUACUCUUUUUGCUGGUGGAGGGUCUUGCCUCGAGGUUGAUGGCUGCUGACUGGUCAGGGUGGUGGCUGCUGAAGGUUGGGGUGGCUGUGGCAAUUUCUUAAAAUAAGACAUCAGUGCAGUUUGUCUCAUCAAUUGACUCUUCCUUUCAUGAAAGAUUUCUCUGUAGCAUGCGAUGCUGUUUGAUAGCAUUUUGCCCACAGUAGAACUUCUUUCAAAAUUGGAGUCAAUCCUCUCAAACCCUGCUGCUGCUUUGUCAACUAAGUUUAUGUAAUAUUCUAAAUCCUUUGUUGUCAUUUCAACAAUGUUCACAGCAUCUUCACCAGGUGUAGAUUCCAUCUCAAGAAACCACUUUCUUUGUGCAUCCAUAAGAAACAGCUCCUUAUCUGUUACAGUUUUAUCAUGAGACUGCAGCAAUUCAGUUACAUCUCUAGGCUCUACUUCUAAUUCUAGUUCUCUUGCUAUUUCCACCACAUCUGCACUUACUUCCUCCACUGAAGUCUUGAACCCAUCAUAGUCAUCAAUGAGGGUGGGAAUCAACUUCUUCCAAACUCCUGUUAAUGUUGACAUUUUGACCUCCUCCCAUGAAUCACGAAUGUUUUUAAUGGCAUCUAAAAUGGUGAAUCCUUUCCAGAAGGUUUUCAAUUUGCUUUGCCCAGAUCCAUCAGAGACAUCUCUAUCCAUGGCAGCUAGAGCCUUAUGAAACGUAUUUCUCAAAUAAUAAGACUUGAAGGUCGAAAUUCCUCCUUGAUCCAUGGGCUGCAGAAUGGAUGUUGUGUUAGUGGGCAUGAAAACAACAUUAAUCUCCUUGUAUAUCUCCAUCAGAGCUCUUGGAUGACUAGGGGCAUUGUCAAUGAGCAGUAAUAUUUUGAAAGGAAUCUUCUUUUCUGAGCAGUAGGUCUCAACAGUGGGUUUAAAGUAUUCAGUAAACCACACUGUAAACAGAUGUGCUGUCAUCCGGGCUUUGCUGUUCCAUUUAUAUAGCACAGGUAGAGUAGAUUUAGUAUAAUUCUUAAGGGCCCUAGGAUUUUCAGAAUGGUAAACAAAGCAUUGGCUUCAACUUAAAGUCACCAGCUGCAUUAGCCCCCAACAAGAGAGUCAGCCUGUCCUUUGAAGCUUUGAAGCCAGGCACUAACUUCUCCUCUCUAGCUAUGAAAGUCCUAGAUGGCAUCUUCUUCCAACAGAAGGCUGUUUCAUCUACAUUGAAAAUCUGUUGUUUAGUGUAGCCACCUUCAUCAAUGAUCUUAGCUAAAGCUUCUGGAUAACUUGCUGCAGCUUCUACAUCAGCACUAGCUGCUUCACCCUGUGCUUUUAUGUUGUGGAAACGGCUUCUUUCCUUAAACCUCAUGAACCAACCUCUGCUAGCUUCAAACUUUUCUUCUGCGGCUUCCACACCUCUCUCAGCUUUCAUAGAGUUGAAGAGAGUUAGGGCCUUGUUCUGGAUUAGGCUUUGGCUUAAGGGAAUGUUGUGGCUGGUCUGAUCUUCUAUCCAGACCACUAAAACUUUCUCCAUAUCAGCAAUAAGGCUGUUUCGCUUUCUUAUCAUUCGUGUGUUCAUUGGAGUAGCACUUUUAACUUCCUUCAAGAACUUUUCCUUUGCAUUUACAACUUGGCUAACUGUUUGCCGCAGGAGGCCUAGCCUUCGGCCUAUAUCGGCUUUUGACAUACCUUCCUCACUGAGUUUAAUCAUUUCUAGUUUUUGAUUUAAAGUGAGAGACGUGCGACUCUUCCUUUCACUUGAGCACUUAGAGGCCAUUGCAGAGUUAUUAAUUCGCCUAAUUUCAAUAUUGUUGUGUCUCAGGGAAUAGAGAGGCCCAAGAAGAGGGAGAAAGAUGGGGAACAAUCUGUGGGUGGAGCAGUCAGAACACACACAACAUUAAGUUCGCGGUCUUAUAAAAGACGCUGUAUGUGGCACCCCAAAACAAUAGCAACAUCAAAGAUCACUGAUCAUAGAUCACCAUAACAGACACAGAAAUCAUGAAAAGUUUGAAAUAUUUUGAGAAUUACCAAAAUGUAACACAGAGACACGAAGUGAACACAUGCUGUUGGAAAAAUGGCGCUAAUACAAUUGCUGGACUCAGGGCUGCCACAAACCCUCAAUUUGUUUUUAGAAAGUCCUAUCUGCGAAGCGCAAUAAAACGAGGUAUGCCAUAGUAUAGUGGCGCUGCCGCCAAAGGAAAGCCUCGGGAAGGUUAAGAGAGAUACCGGAGAGUGCGUCUGGCACUGGAGGAGGAGGAGGGCUUUUACCAGGCAGCGAGUCCAGAGCCCGCGCUGUCAACGACGCGGUGCUGCCUUUUUUCGGAGGCGCUGCAGGAGGGCGCCUGGACACGCUCCCUUAGGAGAGCGGGCAGGUCACAGGACCUGGACGGCGACAAAGCUGAGACCUGAAGCCAGCUCCGCCGCUGAGGCCAACCCUCUGCGCAGCCGCCCU